UUUUUUGUAGUAUAAUUAAUUACAUUAGUUUUUCAUACUAAAGAUGGUCGUUAGUCUCAGGUUUU
Molecule: transfer RNA, 65 nt
Filed under: Xyloredo sp. E88
Lineage: Eukaryota; Metazoa; Mollusca; Bivalvia; Myida; Pholadidae
Also listed under: 1 other name
Description: tRNA-Glu
Source: RNAcentral